GCCGGUGAUUCAACCGCAAGGAGAGUAGCCCGUCCAAGGUAUGAAUGGUGAUUGGGGUG
RNAcentral lists this ribosomal RNA (59 nucleotides) under uncultured bacterium. RNAcentral's name for it is "partial 16S ribosomal RNA". The record is from RNAcentral.